AUGCCAAGAAUCCCUCAGUGCCCUGUUCCAGCCUGCCCCAAGAUUCUGACACCUCACAACUGCACACAUGGAGGAGAAAGCAGAAGCUUAGAGAAACGCCAAGAAUCCCCCUGUGCUCUGUUCCAGCCUGUCCAAAAUUCUGACACCUCACACCCCUUCUGGAAGCAAUGGCUGUCCCGCCAGCAGACCAGGCCCCCUUGGAGGCACAGUCCUCUUCUUUGGCCCCUCUGAAAGACUACACCUCAGGUCUGGAUUCCUGUGUCAGAGGAACAGAAAGGCUCUUUCUGUGGAGAGUUUGGCGUGGUGGCCUUCCUGUCACUGGGUAGGAGGGGCCCGGGGGACAGUGAGUGGGGAGCAUGUGUGUGAGGGGUAGCUGAGAUAGAAGGUGGAGAAGAGUGGGUGUCAAGAGGAGGCUGGAGGAGAGAGGAAGGGGGGAGAAUGAAUGCUGGUGAGUGCCUUUGUGGUCACCUACCACCUUAACCUCAUCAUCCUGUCCAUCUCAGUCCAUGUGUGGUGGACAUACAACAAAGUCUGAGUAUCUGGAACUUAGUAUUUAAUGCUUAUGCUACAGUUAGUCCUGUGGUGCUGCUCAGUUCUGAUAAAAGAAUAAUCAGUAUUCUGAAAAGCACACAAUGUAAGAGCCAUUAAUGUUUACUAAUAUUGUGAUGGCAUAUUUUUCUUUAAAAUGUAUUUUAAUGCAGUUAAAUUAUUCAGUAGCAUAAAAUUUUUUUAAUUUCUGUAAGAGGAACAUUUCAUUUUUUCAUAUAUACAGGUUUUUUUUUUUUGACAGGCAGAGUGGACAGUGAGAGAGAGAGACAGAGAGAAAGGUCUUCCUUUGCCGUUGGUUCACCCUCCAGUGGCCGCCGCGGCCGGCACGCUGCGGCCGGCGCACCGCGCUGAUCCGAUGGCAGGAGCCAGGAGCCAGGUACUUAUCCUGGUCUCCCAUGGGGUGCAGGGCCCAAGUAGUUGGGCCAUCCUCCACUGCACUCCCUGGCCACAGCAGAGGGCUGGCCUGGAAGAGGGGCAACCGGGACAGAAUCCGGCGCCCCAACCGGGACUAGAACCCGGUGUGCCGGCGCCGCUAGGCGGAGGAUUAGCCUAGUGAGCCGUGGCGCCGGCCCAUAUAUACAGUUUUAAGAACAAAAUGAUACUUUAUCAGAUUAAAAUAAAGUGCAAUUAUUUGAUAAUUCUUUACUUCA
This is a long non-coding RNA of Oryctolagus cuniculus (rabbit), 1199 nucleotides long. NCBI's taxonomy places the organism in Eukaryota, Metazoa, Chordata, Mammalia, Lagomorpha, Leporidae. The record is from Ensembl.